RNAcentral lists this ribosomal RNA (434 nucleotides) under uncultured bacterium. RNAcentral's name for it is "partial 16S ribosomal RNA". It matches the Rfam family "Bacterial small subunit ribosomal RNA", at positions 29 to 507 of the family's 1533-position model. The record is from RNAcentral.
AGCGAACGCUGGCGGCAGGCCUAACACAUGCAAGUCGAACGAACCUUUCGGGGUUAGUGGCGGACGGGUGAGUAACACGUGGGAACGUGCCUUUAGGUUCGGAUUAACUCAGGGAAACUUGUGCUAAUACCGAAUGUGCCCUUCGGGGGAAAGAUUUAUCGCCUUUAGAGCGGCCCGCGUCUGAUUAGCUAGUUGGUUGAGGUAAUGGCUCACCAAGGCGACGAUCAGUAGCUGGUCUGAGAGGAUGAUCAGUCACAUUGGGACUGAGACACGGCCCAAACUCCUACGGGAGGCAGCAGUGGGGAAUCUUGCGCAAUGGGCGAAAGCCUGACGCAGCCAUGCCGCGUGAAUGAUGAAGGUCUUAGGAUUGUAAAAUUCUUUCACCGGGGACGAUAAUGACGGUACCCGGAGAAGAAGCCCCGGCUAACUUCGUG